CUCCUGGAAACGGGUGGUAAUACCGGAUGCUCCGCCCCACCGCAUGGUGGGGUGGGAAAUGCUUUUUGCGGCAUGGGAUGGGGUCGCGUCCUAUCAGCUUGUUGGCGGGGUGAUGGCCCACCAAGGCGUUGACGGGUAGCCGGCCUGAGAGGGUGACCGGCCACAUUGGGACUGAGAUACGGCCCAGACUCCUACGGGAGGCAGCAGUGGGGAAUAUUGCACAAUGGGCGCAAGCCUGAUGCAGCGACGCCGCGUGCGGGAUGGAGGCCUUCGGGUUGUAAACCGCUUUUGUUCAAGGGCAAGGCACGGCUUCGGGCCGUGUUGAGUGGAUUGUUCGAAUAAGCACCGGCUAACUACGUGCCAGCAGCCGCGGUAAUACGUAGGGUGCGAGCGUUAUCCGGAUUUAUUGGGCGUAAAGGGCUCGUAGGCGGUUCGUCGCGUCCGGUGUGAAAGUCCAUCGCCUAACGGUGGAUCUGCGCCGGGUACGGGCGGGCUGGAGUGCGGUAGGGGAGACUGGAAUUCCCGGUGUAACGGUGGAAUGUGUAGAUAUCGGGAAGAACACC
Molecule: ribosomal RNA, 563 nt
Filed under: uncultured Bifidobacterium sp.
Lineage: Bacteria; Bacillati; Actinomycetota; Actinomycetes; Bifidobacteriales; Bifidobacteriaceae
Description: bacterial SSU rRNA
Rfam family: Bacterial small subunit ribosomal RNA
Source: RNAcentral